This 511-nucleotide ribosomal RNA is filed under the name uncultured bacterium. RNAcentral describes it as "bacterial SSU rRNA". It matches the Rfam family "Bacterial small subunit ribosomal RNA", at positions 15 to 518 of the family's 1533-position model. The record is from RNAcentral.
GAUUAUGGCUCAGGAUGAACGCUAGCGACAGGCUUAACACAUGCAAGUCGAGGGGCAGCAUAAAAGUAGCAAUACUUGGUGGCGACCGGCGCACGGGUGAGUAACGCGUAUGCAACCUACCUAUCAGAGGGGAAUAACCCGGCGAAAGUCGGACUAAUACCGCAUAAAACAGGGGCACCGCAUGGUGAUAUUUGUUAAAGAAAUUCGCUGAUAGAUGGGCAUGCGUUCCAUUAGGUAGUUGGUGAGGUAACGGCUCACCAAGCCGACGAUGGAUAGGGGAACUGAGAGGUUGGUCCCCCACACUGGUACUGAGACACGGACCAGACUCCUACGGGAGGCAGCAGUGAGGAAUAUUGGUCAAUGGGCGGGAGCCUGAACCAGCCAAGUCGCCGUGAAGGAAGAAGGAUCUAUGGUUCGUAAACUUCUUUUGCAGGGGAAUAAAGUGCAGGACGUGUCCUGUUUUGUAUGUACCCUGAGAAUAAGGAUCGGCUAACUCCGUGCCAGCCGCCGC